AUUGAACGCUGGCGGCAUGCCUUACACAUGCAAGUCGAACGGCAGCACGGGAGCUUGCUCCUGGUGGCGAGUGGCGAACGGGUGAGUAAUACAUCGGAACGUACCCUGAAGUGGGGGAUAACGUAGCGAAAGUUACGCUAAUACCGCAUAUUCUGUGAGCAGGAAAGAGGGGGAUCGCAAGACCUCUUGCUUUAGGAGCGGCCGAUGUCGGAUUAGCUAGUUGGUGAGGUAAAGGCUUCACCAAGGCGACGAUCCGUAGCGGGUCUGAGAGGAUGAUCGCCACACUGGGACUGAGACACGGCCCCAGGACUCCUACGGGAGGCAGCAGUGGGGAAUUUUGGACAAUGGGCGCAAGCCUGAUCCAGCCAUGCCGCGUGAGUGAAGAAGGCCUCGGGUUGU
This 399-nucleotide ribosomal RNA is filed under the name uncultured bacterium. RNAcentral describes it as "bacterial SSU rRNA". It matches the Rfam family "Bacterial small subunit ribosomal RNA", at positions 30 to 426 of the family's 1533-position model. The record is from RNAcentral.